UCUGCCUCUGUGGUGGAUAGUGGAGAGUUUCCCAUGUGGUAUUGGUGUGCUGGAUAUCCCUUCCCUGGUAGCCUGGUAACAUACACUCCCAGGUCUUUCUCUGCCUCUGUGGUGGAUAGUGGAGUGUUUCCCAUGUGGUAUUGGUGUGCUGGAUAUCCCUUCACUGGUAGCCUGGUAACAUACACUCCCAGGUCUUUCUCUGCCUCUGUGGUGGAUAGUGGAGUGUUUCCCAUGUGGUAUUGGUGUGCUGGAUAUCCCUUCACUGGUAGCCUGGUAACAUACACUCACAGGUCUUUCUCUGCCUCUGUGGUGGAUAGUGGAGUGUUUCCCAUGUGGUAUUGGUGUGCUGGAUAUCCCUUCACUGGUAGCCUGGUAACAUACACUCACAGGUCUUUCUCUGCCUCUGUGGUGGAUAGUGGAGUGUUUCCCAUGUGGUAUUGGUGUGCUGGAUAUCCCUUCACUGGUAGCCUGGUAACAUACACUCCCAGGUCUUUCUCUGCCUCUGUGGUGGAUAGUGGAGUGUUUCCCAUGUGGUAUUGGUGUGCUGGAUAUCCCUUCACUGGUAGCCUGGUAACAUACACUCCCAGGUCUUUCUCUAACUGUGGUGGAUAGUGGAGUGUUUCCCAUGUGGUAUUGGUGUGCUGGAUAUCCCUUCACUGGUAGCCUGGUAACAUACACUCCCAGGUCUUUCUCUAACUGUGGUGGAUAGUGGAGUGUUUCCCAUGUGGUAUUGGUGUGCUGGAUAUCCCUUCACUGGUAGCCUGGUAACAUACACUCCCAGGUCUUUCUCUGCCUCUGUGGUGGAUAGUGGAGUGUUUCCCAUGUGGUAUUGGUGUGCUGGAUAUCCCUUCACUGGUAGCCUGGUAACAUACACUCCCAGGUCUUUCUCUGCCUCUGUGGUGGAUAGUGGAGUGUUUCCCAUGUGGUAUUGGUGUGCUGGAUAUCCCUUCACUGGUAGCCUGGUAACAUACACUCCCAGGUCUUUCUCUGCCUCUGUGGUGGAUAGUGGAGAGUUUCCCAUGUGGUAUUGGUAUGCUGGAUAUCCCUUCACUGGUAGCCUGGUAACAUACACUCCCAGGUCUUUCUCUGCCUCUGUGGUGGAUAGUGGAGUGUUUCCCAUGUGGUAUUGGUGUGCUGGAUAUCCCUUCACUGGUAGCCUGGUAACAUACACUCCCAGGUCUUUCUCUGCCUCUGUGGUGGAUAGUGGAGUGUUUCCCAUGUGGUAUUGGUGUGCUGGAUAUCCCUUCACUGGUAGCCUGGUAACAUACACUCCCAGGUCCUUCUCUGCCUCUGUGGUGGAUAGUGGAGUGUUUCCCAUGUGGUAUUGGUGUGCUGGAUAUCCCUUCACUGGUAGCCUGGUAAGAUACACUCCCAGGUCUUUCUCUGCCUCUGUGGUGGAUAGUGGAGUGUUUCCCAUGUGGUAUUGGUGUGCUGGAUAUCCCUUCACUGGUAGCCUGGUAACAUACACUCCCAGGUCUUUCUCUGCCUCUGUGGUGGAUAGUGGAGUGUUUCCCAUGUGGUAUUGGUGUGCUGGAUAUCCCUUCACUGGUAGCCUGGUAGCAUACACUCCCAGGUCUUUCUCUGCCUCUGUGGUGGAUAGUGGAGUGUUUCCCAUGUGGUAUUAGUGUGCUGGAUAUCCCUUCACUGGUAGCCUGGUAACAUACACUCCCAGGUCUUUCUCUGCCUCUGUGGUGGAUAGUGGAGUGUUUCCCAUGUGGUAUUGGUGUGCUGGAUAUCCCUUCACUGGUAGCCUGGUAACAUACACUCCCAGGUCUUUCUCUGCCUCUGUGGUGGAUAGUGGAGUGUUUCCCAUGUGGUAUUAGUGUGCUGGAUAUCCCUUCACUGGUAGCCUGGUAACAUACACUCCCAGGUCUUUCUCUGCCUCUGUGGUGGAUAGUGGAGUGUUUCCCAUGUGGUAUUGGUGUGCUGGAUAUCCCUUCACUGGUAGCCUGGUAAGAUACACUCCCAGGUCUUUCUCUGCCUCUGUGGUGGAUAGUGGAGUGUUUCCCAUGUGGUAUUGGUGUGCUGGAUAUCCCUUCACUGGUAGCCUGGUAACACACACUCCCAGGUCUUUCUCUGCCUCUGUGGUGGGUAGGGGAGUGUUUCCCAUGUGGUAUUGGUGUGCUGGAUAUCCCUUCACUGGUAGCCUGGUAACACACACUCCCAGGUCUUUCUCUGCCUCUGUGGUGGAUAGUGGAGUGUUUCCCAUGUGGUAUUGGUGUGCUGGAUAUCCCUUCACUGGUAGCCUGGUAAGAUACACUCCCAGGUCUUUCUCUGCCUCUGUGGUGGAUAGUGGAGUGUUUCCCAUGUGGUAUUGGUGUGCUGGAUAUCCCUUCACUGGUAGCCUGGUAAGAUACACUCCCAGGUCUUUCUCUGCCUCUGUGGUGGAUAGUGGAGUGUUUCCCAUGUGGUAUUGGUGUGCUGGAUAUCCCUUCACUGGUAGCCUGGUAAGAUACACUCCCAGGUCUUUCUCUGCCUCUGUGGUGGAUAGUGGAGUGUUUCCCAUGUGGUAUUGGUGUGCUGGAUAUCCCUUCACUGGUAGCCUGGUAACAUACACUCCCAGGUCUUUCUCUGCCUCUGUGGUGGAUAGUGGAGUGUUUCCCAUGUGGUAUUGGUGUGCUGGAUAUCCCUUCACUGGUAGCCUGGUAACACACACUCCCAGGUCUUUCUCUGCCUCUGUGGUGGAUAGUGGAGUGUUUCCCAUGUGGUAUUGGUGUGCUGGAUAUCCCUUCACUGGUAGCCUGGUAAGAUACACUCCCAGGUCUUUCUCUGCCUCUGUGGUGGAUAGUGGAGUGUUUCCCAUGUGGUAUUGGUGUGCUGGAUAUCCCUUCACUGGUAGCCUGGUAACAUACACUCCCAGGUCUUUCUCUGCCUCUGUGGUGGGUAGUGGAGUGUUUCCCAUGUGGUAUUGGUGUGCUGGAUAUCCCUUCACUGGUAGCCUGGUAACAUACACUCCCAGGUCUUUCUCUGCCUCUGUGGUGGAUAGUGGAGUGUUUCCCAUGUGGUAUUGGUGUGCUGGAUAUCCCUUCACUGGUAGCCUGGUAACAUACACUCCCAGGUCUUUCUCUGCCUCUGUGGUGGAUAGUGGAGUGUUUCCCAUGUGGUAUUGGUGUGCUGGAUAUCCCUUCACUGGUAGCCUGGUAACAUACACUCCCAGGUCUUUCUCUGCCUCUGUGGUGGAUAGUGGAGUGUUUCCCAUGUGGUAUUGGUGUGCUGGAUAUCCCUUCACUGGUAGCCUGGUAACAUACACUCCCAGGUCUUUCUCUGCCUCUGUGGUGGAUAGUGGAGUGUUUCCCAUGUGGUAUUGGUGUGCUGGAUAUCCCUUCACUGGUAGCCUGGUAACAUACACUCCCAUGUCUUUCUCUGCCUCUGUGGUGGAUAGUGGAGUGUUUCCCAUGUGGUAUUGGUGUGCUGGAUAUCCCUUCACUGGUAGCCUGGUAACAUACACUCCCAGGUCUUUCUCUGCCUCUGUGGUGGAUAGUGGAGAGUUUCCCAUGUGGUAUUGGUGUGCUGGAUAUCCCCUCCCAAGGUGCAGGACUUUACAUUUUUCUUCACUGAAUUGUACCAGUCACUUUUUGAUCCAUUUCUGUAGCUUGGUGAGAUCUUUUCAUAAUUUUUCAUUUUUUCAUAAUUUCAUAAUUUUACGACAACUUUUUGUAAUUUUACGAUUUUGUAUGAGGUCAUUUAAUUCAGCGAAAUAUGACCAGUGCAAUUGCGGUCCCAUGAUUUUAAUCCAGUCAAUCAGUCUGUCAAUCUCUCCUUUUCCAGUCCCCUCGAUUCUUAAAAACACAUUCUCUCUCUCUCUGUCUCUCUGUGUUCUUCCAUUCUUCCACCCCUCCACUAACCAUCUCCCCCUUCCACAGUUUGGUUGCUGGUGCGGUUGAGGUUGCUGCCACGAUCGCAAGCAAGUCCCCAGUGGCUGUCCAAACCUCAAAGAUCGCGUUGGUGUACUCACGAGACCACACCGUUGAGGAGGGACUGGACUACAUGGCCAAGAUGAACAGCCUGAUGCUACAGAGUGAAGACCUUCGCAUUGCUGCCAUGGCCCUGAUGAGCAAGGGAGAGACCAAGCCACUCUUCUCCAAGCUGUAAGAGGAGAGAGAGAGAGAGGAGGAGGAAGAAGAAAGAAAGGAGGAGGACACUGGUUAAGAAGAAACAAGAAGAAGAAGAAGAGGAGGAGGAAGAAGAGAAAGAGAGGAGGCAGAGGAAGACAUUGGUAAAGAAGGAGAAGAGGAAGACUUGAUGAAGAGAAGGCGGAAGAGGAGGAGGAAGAGUGAGAGAGGAUAGGAACAUAAGGAAAACUAUUAAGAUGUAAAUGAUCAAAGGAAAUUCAAUAAUAUACAAGAUACAUUUUUUAUUAGUGCAGAAAACACACCUUAUAUACACCCUUUCAAACAGCAACACAUUGAUUAAGGAGAGUCUACCCUUAGCCCUGUCCAAGCAAGCUAUAGAACACUGCUUUUUCAAACUAGUAUGACAGCACAUUAAGAAACUAUACUAAUAUUACUGCUGUAGGAGGGGGGCAGGGGUGUGUGGUUACUGGUGGUGUCUGGGGCUGUACUGGUGACUCGUGUUCUCUUCAGUGCAGGGGGGCAGGGGUGUGUUAUGCCUGGUACUGGUGGCUGGUCCACUGAUGUCCCUCCUCCUGUAACUCCACAAGCCUCUAGAGUUGGCGUUCCCUGGGGUUGGGGUCCCUGGGGUUGGGGUCUCUUGGGUUGGGGUCUCUUGGGUUGGGGUCUCUUGGGUUGGGGUCUCUGGGGUUAGUGUCCCUGGGGUUGGGGUCUCUUGGGUUGCCGAGCACUCACGUCUGGAGAAAAAAUUAAUGCUUAGAUUCUUGUAUGAUAUCUCUGGUCCUCUUAUGCAAAUUCCUCCUCCUCCUUCUUCUUCUUUCCUCUCUUCCUUCUAUUAAUUGCUAUGUUAUGUUAUGUUAUGUCACUCUGUAUUCAAUUUCUCCUCCUCCUCUUCCUUCUUUCCUUCCAUAUAUCCUUCUCAGUUCUUGUUAUCCUGUGUUUCCCUUCCUUCCUUCCUUCCUUCCUCUGUUAUGUCUGUUCCUUCCUUCUCUCUUCUAAUCUUUCCUUCCUUUCUUCCUUCCCUCCUGUCUGAUCUUUCUCUCUUUCCUUCCUGUUAUGUCUGUUCCUUCCUUC
Molecule: RNA transcript, 5144 nt
Organism: Eriocheir sinensis (Chinese mitten crab)
Lineage: Eukaryota; Metazoa; Arthropoda; Malacostraca; Decapoda; Varunidae
Gene name: delta(3,5)-Delta(2,4)-dienoyl-CoA isomerase, mitochondrial-like
Exons: 9
Source: RefSeq, a predicted model, not a curated record